RNAcentral lists this ribosomal RNA (521 nucleotides) under Borreliella bavariensis. RNAcentral's name for it is "bacterial SSU rRNA". It matches the Rfam family "Bacterial small subunit ribosomal RNA", at positions 8 to 523 of the family's 1533-position model. Lineage: Bacteria; Pseudomonadati; Spirochaetota; Spirochaetia; Spirochaetales; Borreliaceae. The record is from RNAcentral.
AGAGUUUGAUCCUGGCUUAGAACUAACGCUGGCAGUGCGUCUUAAGCAUGCAAGUCAAACGGGAUGUAGCAAUACAUCUAGUGGCGAACGGGUGAGUAACGCGUGGAUGAUCUACCUACGAGAUGGGGAUAACUAUUAGAAAUAGUAGCUAAUACCGAAUAAAGUCAAUUAAUUUGUUGAUUGAUGAAAGGAAGCCUUUAAAGCUUCGCUUGUAGAUGAGUCUGCGUCUUAUUAGUUAGUUGGUAGGGUAAAUGCCUACCAAGGCGAUGAUAAGUAACCGGCCUGAGAGGGUGAACGGUCACACUGGAACUGAGAUACGGUCCAGACUCCUACGGGAGGCAGCAGCUAAGAAUCUUCCGCAAUGGGCGAAAGCCUGACGGAGCGACACUGCGUGAAUGAAGAAGGUCGAAAGAUUGUAAAAUUCUUUUAUAAAUGAGGAAUAAGCUUUGUAGGAAAUGACGAAGUGAUGACGUUAAUUUAUGAAUAAGCCCCGGCUAAUUACGUGCCAGCAGCCGCGGUAA